UACGAAGGGGGCUAGCGUUGCUCGGAAUCACUGGGCGUAAAGCGCGCGCAGGCGGUCCUUUAAGUCUGAUGUGAAAGCCCACGGCUCAACCGUGGAGGGUCAUUGGAAACUGGGGGACUUGAGUGCAGAAGAGGAAAGUGGAAUUCCAAGUGUAGCGGUGAAAUGCGUAGAGAUUUGGAGGAACACCAGUGGCGAAGGCGACUUUCUGGUCUGUAACUGACGCUGAGGCGCGAAAGCGUGGGGAGCAAACAGG
This 253-nucleotide ribosomal RNA is filed under the name uncultured bacterium. Its description in RNAcentral is "partial 16S ribosomal RNA". It matches the Rfam family "Bacterial small subunit ribosomal RNA", at positions 524 to 776 of the family's 1533-position model. The record is from RNAcentral.